UUUAAACCCAUUCUAUGCCAACCUUCUGUUAUUUUUCAGUAGUAGUGAAUUUUUUUAGCCAGGCUAGCUAACUGUUGGCUAUUUCUGAUCUACAGUUAGUCUCUUUGGUGCCUAAUAGGCUCAAUCUUAUGUCACCUUGCUACUUAUUUGUGGCUAGCUAGCUCGCUUUGAGAUAUGUGUUUACUAUAUGUUGUUUUCUUAUAUAGCUCUUAGCUAAUUGCUACAUAGCUGACACCUUACACUUACACUGGGUACAGAUAUGGAUCUCUGGUGAAGACAUCUUAUCUUUCCACCUUCUCUCCACCACAGGUUCGACCAGUCGGCUACGACGGGAACAACCCCACAUCGGUGGCUGAGUGGCUGGAGUCUCUGGAGCUCGGAGAUUACACGAAGUCGUUCCUUAUCAACGGCUACACAUCCAUGGAGCUCGUCAAGAAGAUAUGGGAGAUCGAGCUCAUCAACGUUUUAAAGAUCAGCCUCAUCGGCCACAGAAAACGGAUUCUGGCCUCGUUGGGCGACAGAUUACACGAAGACACCCCUCAGAAACCUCCGCGGGCCAUCUCCCUCAGGGAGCCGGGCGGGAACCACACUCCUCCCCAGCUCAGCCCGUCGGUGGGACAGGCAGCGGACACGGCGGGGGUCCC
Cynoglossus semilaevis (tongue sole) is the source of this 644-nucleotide long non-coding RNA. RefSeq lists it as uncharacterized. The record is from RefSeq and is a predicted model, not a curated record. NCBI's taxonomy places the organism in Eukaryota, Metazoa, Chordata, Actinopteri, Pleuronectiformes, Cynoglossidae. The transcript is spliced from 3 exons.